This is a long non-coding RNA of Equus caballus (horse), 6787 nucleotides long. RefSeq lists it as uncharacterized. The record is from RefSeq and is a predicted model, not a curated record. NCBI's taxonomy places the organism in Eukaryota, Metazoa, Chordata, Mammalia, Perissodactyla, Equidae.
GAAUUUUUAUGGCUUCUAUUCUUGAAGAUUUAGUGUUUUGUCUCCAAGUACAUGCAUUGCACAGCCCCUCUUUUUCCACAUUUUCUUUUUGCUCGCUGUUCUCAUUUAGAUCCACUGGACCAGCAAGAAUCAGCACAAACAGCAAUGCCAAGCAAAAUUUUAAUGCCUGUACAGUCUGAGAGACAACUUGCCACACCAGUGAAUCUUUUAUACUGUAUUCCAAGUGGCUUUUUAUAUUCCAACUUUGAUGAGACAAGUGUCGUCAGGAUCUAUGAUUGGCUCCUGCUCCACAAUGAAUCUCGCUGUCAGAGGUUAAAACCCUGUCUGUCACAAGUCACCAAACAGUAUUUUGUUACAGUCAAGGUUGCAGAUUAAUAUCACUCAGAAGAUGUGUUUCUUCAUUGUUAUUACCAGGGCAUAAUGUCAGCUAGUAGAAAAAAUCUCUGAACUUAGAAGAUAAUGGAUUUGUGAGUGACAAAGCAGGACUUAUCACAGUUUGCCUCCGAUUUCCAGCAGUUGAAGUAACAAGUGUACUGUCUCUUCUCCAUAACUUAUAUCAGAAUAUCGUGAACACAUAAAAGGGAAAGAGCACCGUAAUAAAGGGGUGCCUGUUUGUUUUGUUUCUCAAUACUGUGAUGUUUGCACCCCUUUGCCAGUUUUUCCUUUUGACCAGAGGGCAGACACCUGGCAGGGAUUUGGGGUGGGGUCUGGGAGCAGAGAAUAGAGCUUUUUGUUCUCUAAAUUUAAGUGGCCUCUGUAGGGAUCAAACUCUCAACCUUCACUUUGGGAGCCACAAGAUCUAAUCAAAUGAACUAUUAAAGAGCUAAGCAAACAUAGCCAGCAAGAAACAGAAGCUGUUUCCAGGCCACAGGAGAUUUCUUAUUCCUACUGCUUUUUGGGAAGCUAAGGACUCCUAAGAGAGUUAAUCCAUUACUUUUUUUUCCCCAGGAGAAUGCAGUGGCUCAUAUCAAAUAUUUAUUUUUUAGGUCACUACCACUUUUGCACAUUGUACACUAAUUUACUGCCUCAGUGCACUAAAAUGCAACUCAGUAGCCUGAAAAGUUAAUGCAUUUUCAUCAAAUUCUUAAGAGGUAUCUACAUCUCUUGAGAAAAAAUGGCCUUACAUAAUGCAUUAGAUUUGCCCAUCAUUAAAGAUUAAGGAAAACCAGACACAAACCAGAUGCCCUGAAAGAUUUCAGAUACUCUUUGUUGUGGAACAAUAUUGGAUCAGGCUUAUAAAGUUUUAUAUGUUUAGUAAAUUUGUUUUUCAAUGUAUAAAUCUUUGUCAUGUUAUAAUAAUUGUAACGUGUUCCUAUACACUUCUUAGUAAGUCACAUCUUUUUUUUUUUAACUUGAUUAGAAUUGCAUAACACUUCAGAACUCAGAUCCUGGAGUCAGAUAGACCUGAGUUCAAAACUCAACCUUGCCACUUCUAACUAGGAGCAGCAGUUCAGGAACCACUCAUUCAGUGUUGGCAGUGACUUUAUAGAACAUAACCACUGUGAAUAAUGAGAAUCAACUGUAUCUAAUCAACUUCUCUAGACGUCACUAUUAAAUAAGAAGUGCUCAAGAAAUUUCAAGAACAUACAUUCCUUCUCUAGUGAAGUGAUUGCAACCGGUGAAGGACCCAGAGCAGGAAGGUUCACCCUCUUUUUAACACCUUUGCUGCGGUCUGACUGCUGAGGGCCUAGCUUUGGCUGCUUUCAUGAAGGAGGCAGGACAGACAGUGUGUCAAGACGAGUGAGUAAAGAAGAAUUCCUUCUAGUUGACUGGAGAGCUUGACUGGCCAGCUUGUUGGCUUUGUUGUAGGUUGGCCAUCUUUAAAAGCAGUUCUCAGAGGAGUCAGAUUUAGGUGGCCAAUGCAUCACCUCACAAUAUGUGUUUUCUUUCCCCUGUUCUCCUUUGUACUAGCUAGGCUUUACAUUUCGGUAACCGUUAAGUAAGGCGACAACAAAUUUCUCUUAUCUCUACUACAAAUACCAGGGGGUGUUUCAAAACAACUUUGAGAGUAUAGAGCAUAUUUUCCAAAAAAUGUUUAUGGUUUCACUCUUUGCAGUCUGGGAAAUCCUGAGUGCACUAACAUAAAGGCUUGCCGGAAGUUUAAUGAUGUGGCCAAAGGAAGGAGGAGGAGACUAGGAAUUACAAGAAGAAUGGAUCAUGAAAAAUUCAACUCUGUCGUGGGAAAAACCCAGAGAGUGAUAUUUUAUCUUAUCACUCUUGCCAUUUCCUUGUAAUGACAGUCCUUUGGUAUCACUCUAUUUUGAUUAUGCUUAAAGCCAGAAAAAAAACCGUAUAAUGCUCAACUCACUUAACAGCAUGAGAAGCUAGUCUUCCCACAUUGAUGAUAUCUGAUUAUCCAUGCUUUCAGCAGAUUAUAGAACAAAAAUUAACAAAAGCAGAAGUUUUCUUGAGCUAGAGAGCAAAAGUAGGAAUAGAAGACAGGAGACCUGGAAUAUACUUCUGGUUUUGCCCCUGACGUUUUAUGCGACCUUGAAUAAGUUAUUUAGCGAGGCCUUCAUUUACGAAGGUGUAUGUAUAUAUGUAUUAAUUCAUUUAAUGAAUAUUUUAUGAAAUAUUCUAAUGCCUAUUAUGUGCCUGGUGCUGUGCUACAUUCUGAGGAGAAAACAAUGAACCAGACAGAAGUCAUCACUGUCUUCAAGAAACCUACAGUCUAGUUUCUUAAUGUAAAAUCUGAGGAAAUUUAAUUAAGUUUGCCCUUUCAGUUGAAGUUUAUCCCCUAAAGCAGCAAUUCUCAAAUUUUUUGGUCUCAGGAUUCCUUUAUACUCUUAAAAAUUAUUUAGGAUCCUCAAAAGCUUUUGUUUGAGUCAUAUCUAUCAAUAUUUAACGUGUUACAAGUUAAAAAUGAGAAAUGUUAGAAUAUUGGCAUACAUAAGCAUAUAGUCUAUUUGCUGACACAGUGAUGAUGUCACCUAUCAUGGAGUCUCUGGAAAACUCCACUGUACACCUAAGAAAGAAUGGGAGUAGCAAAAAACAGCCUUGUUAUGAAAAUAGUGUUUACUUCAUAGACUCUCUGAAAAGGUCUUCACUCCAGGGAUCCCCAGACAACACUUUGAGAACCAGACCUCAAAUAAUAAUUUCUACACUACUUGGAUUGAGUAUUUUUUCGCUCUGACUUGAAGUCCCCUCCUCCUAAUACCUACAGCUUUGGCUUUUAAUGAGAAAUCAAAUAUGGUAAUUUUUAAACAUUGUAUGUUUAUUUACUGACACAUAAUUAUUCCCAAGAGCAGAAAUAUAGAUAUUAUUGUAUUAUAAUCACCAACUACCAAAUUGUAGGUUAUCUAGAGGACAUUUGCACAACAUUUGUGAGUUCUAGGGUAUAGACUGAAAUCUAUAGUCUUGAGGGGUUUCUUGUAGAUGGUCUUCAGGUCAGUCUUGAGAUGAUAACAUUCAUAUUACGGCAAUGCCUCGUAAUAUAAUGUCCCAGUUAAUAAAAUUUCUGCAUUCUACUGUCCUUUAGAGGUAGCAUUAGCUCAGGAAUACUUCAAAAUGCAAUUUCUCUGCUCCUUCCUUUCCAAACUGGGAACUCUAGUUUAUUUAUUAUAAAUUUGAAAUACAGAGUAUAAAAAUAAAGUUAUAAUUUGGCUUCCUCAUUUUUCUGCUGAAAAAAGAGACUAGACUCAAAGAUCUAGUGUUCGAACUGUAUAGAUUGUGCUGUCCUCUAUUAUCAUAAUUCUCAAAUGUUUGCUUUUGUUUCCUUACUUAUCCUCCCAUUUCUACCCCUCCAUCCCCUAAAUAGACUAUGAGCUCUUUAAAAGGAGGAAAUUAUUUUGUUCAUUUUUGUCCCUUCAGCUCUUGGUCCAAUACCUGAUACAUAAUUAGGUUGGUAAAAGAGUGUUUACUGUAUAAUUGAAUCAAUAAAUGAAUGAAUGUCUCUUUAAAUACAAGAAACUUCAACUUUCUAAUUUUUCAGUAGGUAUAAUUAGUAUAUUUAUAGACUUUCUAAGUGACUAUGGUUGUGUUUUUAGUUUGUUCUGACUAGGGGUCUAGCAUUUCUGUUGGAUCCUCUCUUACUCAGACUGGUAGGGGAGACUGGUGUUACAGGUCCCUAUGUCUUUGCUGCCUCUAGUAGUUCUCUGGUAGAGUGCUCAGCACUUGGAACAUUCCAGUGGAGCUUUUGCAUUUAAUGAUCUAUGACUACCCAGAGACGCUGUGUGGCUCUUAACAGGGACCUUGCUAGGAAGUGGCCUUGCUGGCUGUGACACCGCUGUUUAAGACCACCAGAGCCCUUACCCAGCCCAGGUCAUACUUAAGUCAAACUGAGUAUAACAAGCAUCAAAGUUAGCCCAAGAGGAGAAAAGAAAUCUCAAAAGAGCAGUGUGUGUGUGUGAGUGUGUGUGUGAGUGUGUGUGUGUCAGUGUGUGUUUAAACAAGGCAAAGGCAGAACAAUCUUCUUUGCCUUGACCAGGUGGGAAGAACAGUGAACUGAUUAUAUGUGUUACAGUCUUCUUUUCCUUCUUUCUCGGAAAGAACUAAGUUUCUCUGUGAUCCUUCCCUCCCUGCUGUCUCCUUAUCCAGCAGAAAGGAGCUUUCUCUCGAAACUGGGAUGGAGUUUAUCACCUCAGUUUAACCCAAGAAGGCAUAGCUCUUUGAGUAGCCAACCAAGGUGGGCCAGAAGUCAACAUGUUUCCCAGAAUGCGCUCUCAAACUGAGUUCCUUAGCUCCCCAGAAGGGUCUGUGAGUUCCAUAAGUCAUUUCAUAAAACUUAGUUCUUUAUGUAUAUUCUGUUUCAUCCAUAUACCCGCCUUACAUCUGAGUACUAACUACUUCAAUGUCCUCAUUUUCUACAGUGUCUACAAAUACAGUGUUUACAGUUGAGUUUUUUUACUGUAAUCACGUUGGCUUCAAGUGCCCCAAAAGUGAUAGGGGUUGACUUUUAUUCAUGGAUUCUCAAAAAACUUGUUUUUCCUUUUAAAGGAAUCUUUGCAUUAGUCAAGCCUGAGAAUCUGGCUCAAAUAAUUUCCUCAUUCUAUCAAUAGCAAAUAAGCAUAGCUACUUAAGUCUUUUUCCCCAAAGGCAAUGGCUGGUGUUUAGAAAAAGUCUGUGAUUCAAUAAGUGAACCCUUUUUACUGGACUCAAAUUUACCUUUUGUUUAUGUUGAGUGUACAUGCAGUGAGAUAGCAUAUAGGAAUGUUUCAGAUUGCCUGAUAUCAAUUAUACCGCUCUUUAGCUGGGCUCUCACAUUUUCUACAGCCACACCCCUGCUUUUGGUCUAAACUUCCACACCAUUGCCUACCUCCUUGGAUUAAGAAGGCACAAACUUCUGCCUGCAGCUAUACAUUUUCUUUCCCAAAUUUAAUGAAGUCAAAUUUUAAAAAUUUAUAAAUGAGAAACUGAGUAUAAUAAUAAGGUCAUUUUCUUUAUUUUUGAUAACUGAUUUCCUUCAUGAUGUUUUGGUUUACUUUAGAACAAGCACGUGGUUUCCAAGAGCAGAUGACAAUAUAGAUUGAUUUGGAAAAACAUAUCUUUAGUUUCAAAAUCUUUAACCUUCUUGUUAAGAGUUAAACUUUCCAGUAAACAACCGCUCACCAAGAGAAAAUCUUGCCAUUUUCAGGGUUUUGUUUUUGGAGGCCUUUGGAAACCGUAGACUCAAUACAGAGUAUGUUUCUUCAAAUCAAAAAAAUUUUUUCUAAUUUUUUAGAUUCAGAUUUUUAAAAUUUAAAGUCUUAAAAUUCUUUUUAAAAAAUUUAACUCUCUCUUUACUCAGUAGCUUGGAAGUAGUGAGAACCUUAAAAGAAUUCAGUUCCUUGCAAAAGUAUUCAGAAAAUAUUUUCUUAUUUCCUUGGAAUUGCCUAAAGCAUUGUUUUUCAUGAUUCACAGAGGAUUGGCUUUCAGAGGCAUUCUGCUUCCAAAUUCUUUUGUAAAUUCCUAGAAAGGACCCUUUACAAUGGAUUCAUUGGUUCAUUUAUUAGUUCAUUAAACACUUACUGAGCAACUGGUUUAUGAUAGGUACUAUGCCAGGAAUUGGAGACAGGAAAAAAAUGAUGCUUUUUGCCUAAGGGGAAAAAUUUGAAUUAUAGGAACAUGAGAAUUUUAAGAUUGUUCUAUCUAAUCUGCUCAGGAACCGAUGGGGAAACUGAGGCCCAGAGAGAAGUUACAUGACUUAAAUUAGAAAAACAGUUUAUUUGAUUUACAAAGGUGAUUUGCAUUGAAAUACUUUUGAAGCACCAAGUACUUCUUUUAUAUUGAGUUAAGAAUUUUUUUUAAUGUUCUAAAUUUAACAAAUAAGGCCAGUGCUCAAUUUCCUGGGUCAGUGCCACGGUGGUGCCCUUUGUUCUUGGAUCCAAUCCAUGGUCUGGCUUGGCAACUGAAAGACCUAGUGACCUGCAUUUGGCAAUUAGUAUAGGAGUUUUAGUGUCUGCUAACUAAACGUGCUUUGGAUGCCUGUUUGCUCAGAUAUUGGGUGUCAGCCUUUGUUGUAGAACAUCACUAUUUCUGUUAAACUCAUAUUUUUAUAUUUGGAGUCAUACAUUUACAUUCUUGAAACUUAAAAUUAAUGUCAGGAGUUUCUAGUUAUUUUAACCAUAAAGAGUUUUAUCUGACUUUUAGUUUAAAAUUGAUUCAACCUUGAAUUAUAAUAAAAACAUUUUCAUUUAAUUAGAUUUAACAUGAACAUUCUGGCCCCUGCUGGGGACUCUAAGAACUACAUCACUUGUACUAUCAAUUUUUCUAAGGUCAUAAGGACUUCAGUUUAAACCUUGAAUUCAGUUUUAUAUAUCUUCUUUUUUGUAACAUACAGAAGUUUAUUGAAUAAAAUAUAUAAGCAAGG